This 400-nucleotide ribosomal RNA is filed under the name uncultured bacterium. Its description in RNAcentral is "bacterial SSU rRNA". It matches the Rfam family "Bacterial small subunit ribosomal RNA", at positions 358 to 774 of the family's 1533-position model. The record is from RNAcentral.
GGAAUAUUGCGCAAUGGAGGAAACUCUGACGCAGUGACGCCGCGUAUAGGAAGAAGGUUUUAGGAUUGUAAACUAUUUUAGACAGGGAAGAAAACUGACAGUACCUGUAGAAUAAGCUCCGGCUAACUACGUGCCAGCAGCCGCGGUAAUACGUAGGGAGCAAGCGUUAUCCGGAAUUAUUGGGUGUAAAGGGUGCGUAGACGGGAGAGCAAGUUGGCUGUGAAAUCCCUCGGCUUAACUGAGGAACUGCAACCAAAACUACUUUUCUUGAGUGCAGGAGAGGAAAGCGGAAUUCCUAGUGUAGCGGUGAAAUGCGUAGAUAUUAGGAGGAACACCAGUGGCGAAGGCGGCUUUCUGGACUGUAACUGACGUUGAGGCACGAAAGUGUGGGGAGCAAACA